UUAGUGUGUUAGAGGCUAGGGUCUCUGGCUUUCACCCAGAAGGCCCGGGUUCGAUUCCCGGCGUGGGAA
Molecule: transfer RNA, 69 nt
Filed under: Cordylochernes scorpioides
Lineage: Eukaryota; Metazoa; Arthropoda; Arachnida; Pseudoscorpiones; Chernetidae
Description: tRNA-Glu
Source: RNAcentral